Molecule: unclassified non-coding RNA, 354 nt
Filed under: soil metagenome
Description: partial contains 5.8S ribosomal RNA, internal transcribed spacer 2, and large subunit ribosomal RNA
Rfam family: 5.8S ribosomal RNA (bases 1-120)
Source: RNAcentral
GAUGAAGAACGUAGCGAAAUGCGAUAAGUAGUGUGAAUUGCAGAAUUCAGUGAAUCAUCGAAUCUUUGAACGCACAUUGCGCCUCCUGGUAUUCCGGGAGGCAUGCCUGUUCGAGCGUCAUUAAAAUCACUCAAGCUUAGGUUUACCUAUUGCUUGGUCUUGGAGAUGGAAGCCAAUUUAUUGGAAUCCUCUUCGAAAUUCAAUGGCGAAGACCCUUGCUCUCCCAAGUGUAGUAAUAACUUAUGUCACUGAAGGAAGCGAGAAAUCUUCUGCCGUAACCCCCAUGUUUUCUAUGAUUGACCUCGGAUCAGGUAGGGAUACCCGCUGAACUUAAGCAUAUCAAUAAGCGGAGGA